Molecule: ribosomal RNA, 253 nt
Filed under: uncultured bacterium
Lineage: Bacteria
Description: partial 16S ribosomal RNA
Rfam family: Bacterial small subunit ribosomal RNA
Source: RNAcentral
UACGUAGGGGGCAAGCGUUGUCCGGAUCUAUUGGGCGUAAAGAGCGUGUAGGCGGCCGCACAGGUCCGUUGUGAAAACUGGAGGCUUAACCUCCAGACGUCGAUGGAAACCGUGCGGCUAGAGUCCGGAAGAGGAGAAUGGAAUUCCUGGUGUAGCGGUGAAAUGCGCAGAUAUCAGGAAGAACACCCGUGGCUAAGGCGGUUCUCUAGUACGGUACUGACGCUGAGACGCGAAAGCGUGGGGAGCGAACAGG